AGCUUAAGUGACGCUGCAUGCAGAGGGGAUCCGAGAGGUGAGAAGUUCUUAUUUUGGCCAUAUUAAAGUCAAUAUAAACACUUGUUGGAAAAUGACAUUCACCGCUUCAUCCUAUGGCAACUUUAAGAUGGAACCAUGCAGUCAGCCUAUCGUUCAGGGAAAUUCAGGAAAUUCUACCCAUCCCUGAGCCUCUAGAUGAAAGGCAGAGGAAGAUGGCGUUUUGUUUGAACUACAUCUGUUGAAGCAUCAGGAAAUUUUCUAUAGAAGUGGCACCUUCUUUCUACUGA
This is a long non-coding RNA of Aquila chrysaetos chrysaetos, 287 nucleotides long. RefSeq lists it as uncharacterized. The record is from RefSeq and is a predicted model, not a curated record. The transcript has 3 exons. Lineage: Eukaryota; Metazoa; Chordata; Aves; Accipitriformes; Accipitridae.